Gossypium raimondii (Peruvian cotton) is the source of this 143-nucleotide non-coding RNA. Lineage: Eukaryota; Viridiplantae; Streptophyta; Magnoliopsida; Malvales; Malvaceae. The record is from Rfam.
UGUUAAAAUUCAUCCAUUUGUACUAAUAAAAAUUAACGUGAUUAAUGAAAUAACGAGACAGUAACACGUAACUAGCCACAUGUACCUUAUGUUAAUAUAUAAGAACCGGUUUUAAACAAUAUAAAUGAAUGAAAUUAUUAAUU